AGCAGCUUGGCGCAGUGGAAGCGCGGUAAGUUUAGCAGACAAUCUGUAUCACAGACAUUGUACUAACUUGCCUUAGCCGGGCUCAUAACCCGGAGGUCACUGGAUCGAAACCAGUAGCUGCUA
This 123-nucleotide transfer RNA is filed under the name Fusarium tricinctum. RNAcentral's name for it is "tRNA-Ala". The record is from RNAcentral. Lineage: Eukaryota; Fungi; Ascomycota; Sordariomycetes; Hypocreales; Nectriaceae.